GACGAACGCUGGCGGCGUGCUUAACACAUGCAAGUCGAACGGAAAGGCCCUGCUUUUGUGGGGUGCUCGAGUGGCGAACGGGUGAGUAACACGUGAGUAACCUGCCCUUGACUUUGGGAUAACUUCAGGAAACUGGGGCUAAUACCGGAUAGGAGCUCCUGCUGCAUGGUGGGGGUUUGAAAGUUUCGGCGGUUGGGGAUGGACUCGCGGCUUAUCAGCUUGUUGGUGGGGUAGUGGCUUACCAAGGCUUUGACGGGUAGCCGGCCUGAGAGGGUGACCGGCCACAUUGGGACUGAGAUACGGCCCAGACUCCUACGGGAGGCAGCAGUGGGGAAUAUUGCACAAUGGGUGGAAGCCUGAUGCAGCAACGCCGCGUGCGGGAUGACGGCCUUCGGGUUGUAAACCGCUUUCGCCUGUGGCGAAGCGUGAGUGACGGUAAUGGGUAAAGAAGCACCGGCUAACUACGUG
Molecule: ribosomal RNA, 468 nt
Filed under: uncultured bacterium
Lineage: Bacteria
Description: partial 16S ribosomal RNA
Rfam family: Bacterial small subunit ribosomal RNA
Source: RNAcentral